Molecule: long non-coding RNA, 1178 nt
Organism: Homo sapiens (human)
Lineage: Eukaryota; Metazoa; Chordata; Mammalia; Primates; Hominidae
Gene: HTR5A-AS1
Product: HTR5A antisense RNA 1
Source: Ensembl
ACUUGGCAGCCUUGUAGAUCUUCCAGUACACGAAGAGCACCACACAGAGCGGCAGGUAGAAGGCGCCUACGGUGGAGAACACGGCGUAGGAAGGCUCGCGGCUUACCUGGCACUCCUCGCUGCCCUCAGAGUACGUCUCUCCCCAGCCAAAAAGCAGCGGGGCCAGAGAGAUGACAGCGGAGAGUGCCCAGGUGAGCGCGAUCAUGACGUUGGAGACGCACUUGCGGGUGCGGAGCGUGUAUUCCAUGUGGCGCGUGAUGGACCAGUAGCGGUCCAGGGCUAUGGCCGUCACGUUCCAGAUGCUGGCCGUGCAGCAAAGCACGUCGCACGCGAUCCAAAGCUGGCACAGCCUCCGACCUAGCUGCCAGCGGCGCCCGGACAGCUCGUGCACCAGGCUCAGCGGCAUGACCAGCGCGGCCACCAGGACAUCCGAGACGGCCAUGGAUGCCACCAGGUUGUGGGGCACGCGGUGGAAGGUGCGUACACGGAGGAUGGUCGCCAGCACCAGCAGGUUCCAGGCGAACGUCGCCGCCACCAGAAAGCCCAGCAAGAGUAAAACAAGUAUCAGGAGAAUGCACUGAGAAAAGAGAAAGUCCUCCACUGGAACCUAGAGGACGGGACAACAUCAUUAAAUACCGGAUUAUUCACAGGGCUGUUUCAAACACCACUUAAAAACAGCUGAUGGUGACUGCCUGCAUGCAGAGCAACUGUGCAUGGCCCCAAUCUGGAAGCAAGCUUGUGCUUCUUUAAGGCAAAUCACCUUCUUGAGGUCAUGGAACUAAUGGGAAUGAGAUGUAAACUAUGAAUCCUCUUCUUUGGAAAAAGUUCUGCAUCUAGUCUCAGGGCCUGUUAUCUGGAGGAAUGGAUGAACUGUGUUGCCCACAGGCGGGCCUCAAUGGAUCUCUAUGAAUCUUGAAAGGCAUUAUGGGCUUGUGAUUAUAUUCCCUACUGAUUCCCCAGGCCACAGCUGUCUGUAUUGAUAGCUAAGUGAGCAGCAGAAUAGUUAAUAAGGACAAAGCCAAGGAUGACUGAGGAUAAUUUGUGAAAAAUAGAGUGUCAUAAAUUUAGGGACUGAAUAGAAUAUUCCCACAAAGGAGAGAUCCAAUGGAGCAUUUCCAGAAGGGACAAACCCUGUUCAGAAAGUCUGGCUUAUCUCUUAAAAAUACACAAAUAAAAAA